UUUGACUAGUCCGCAGGAUUUCCAGGUGCUAUCCUGAGUCUAGGGAUGAGCGGUCCAACCGGGGGACGAAACUCCAAAGCUCCCACACCGGAACAUCCAACGCCAUGUGUAGCUCCCAAACUAUGUCCUACGCGCGCAGACUGGAUCAUCACACACCGGAACAUCCAACGCCAUGGUGAUGACCCUAAACUCUAUACAAAGUCUUUCCAUACGUCGGAACAUCCAACGCCGCAUAUGGAAAGUGUUUCACACGCCGGAACAUCCAACGCCGCGAGUGAGACUGGUAACUGGGGAAGGUACUUACAUAGUGUAAUCAUACAACUUCUCUCAAAAUCAAAUUCUUCCACAACACCCUCCAACGACCCAAGUAUCUCGUCUAUAGAGAAUAUAUAAAUAUACUUCCC
Molecule: long non-coding RNA, 404 nt
Filed under: Prunus persica (peach)
Lineage: Eukaryota; Viridiplantae; Streptophyta; Magnoliopsida; Rosales; Rosaceae
Description: long non-coding RNA (PPER_LNC004988)
Source: RNAcentral